Molecule: ribosomal RNA, 468 nt
Filed under: uncultured bacterium
Lineage: Bacteria
Description: partial 16S ribosomal RNA
Rfam family: Bacterial small subunit ribosomal RNA
Source: RNAcentral
GACGAACGCUGGCGGCGUGCUUAACACAUGCAAGUCGAACGGAAAGGCCCUGCUUUUGUGGGGUGCUCGAGUGGCGAACGGGUGAGUAACACGUGAGUAACCUGCCCUUGACUUUGGGAUAACUUCAGGAAACUGGGGCUAAUACCGGAUAGGAGCCCCUGCUGCAUGGUGGGGGUUGGAAAGUUUCGGCGGUUGGGGAUGGACUCGCGGCUUAUCAGCUUGUUGGUGGGGUAGUGGCUUACCAAGGCUUUGACGGGUAGCCGGCCUGAGAGGGUGACCGGCCACAUUGGGACUGAGAGACGGCCCAGACUCCUACGGGAGGCAGCAGUGGGGAAUAUUGCACAAUGGGCGGGAGCCUGAUGCGGCAACGCCGCGUGCGGGAUGACGGCCUUCGGGUUGUAAACCGCUUUCGCCUGUGACGAAGCGUGAGUGACGGUAAUGGGUAAAGAAGCACCGGCUAACUACGUG